This is a small nuclear RNA of Balaenoptera musculus (blue whale), 110 nucleotides long. Its record names the gene U2. It matches the Rfam family "U2 spliceosomal RNA". Rfam says of the family: U2 is a small nuclear RNA (snRNA) component of the spliceosome (involved in pre-mRNA splicing). Lineage: Eukaryota; Metazoa; Chordata; Mammalia; Artiodactyla; Balaenopteridae. The record is from Ensembl.
AUCGCUUCUCGGCCUUUUGGCUAAGAUCAAGUGUAGUAUCACUAUGAUUCCAGGCAUUCUUUGACAUAUGCUGCUCUUGCUACUGUUUUGGGAGCUUGGAUAAAUUUAAU